Molecule: ribosomal RNA, 793 nt
Filed under: uncultured archaeon
Lineage: Archaea
Description: bacterial SSU rRNA
Rfam family: Archaeal small subunit ribosomal RNA
Source: RNAcentral
ACGGCUCAGUAACACGUGGUUAACCUGCCCUAAGGUCUGGCAUAACCCCGGGAAACUGGGGAUAAUACCGGAUAACGCAUAUGUGCUGGAAUGCUUUAUGCGUCAAAGGUCCUCCGCCUAAGGAUGGGUCUGCGGCCUAUCAGGUAGUAGCGGGUGUAAUGUACCUGCUAGCCGACGACGGGUACGGGUUGUGAGAGCAAGAGCCCGGAGAUGGAUUCUGAGACAUGAAUCCAGGCCCUACGGGGCGCAGCAGGCGCGAAAACUUUACAAUGCGGGAAACCGUGAUAAGGGGACACCGAGUGCCAGCAACAUUUGCUGGCUGUCCAGGUGUGUAAACUACACCUGUUAGCAAGGGCCGGGCAAGACCGGUGCCAGCCGCCGCGGUAACACCGGCGGCCCGAGUGGUGAUCGUUAUUAUUGGGUCUAAAGGGUCCGUAGCCGGUUUAGUCAGUCCUCCGGGAAAUCUGUCAGCUCAACUGAUAGGCUAUCGGGGGAUACUGCUAGACUUGGAACCGGGAGAGGUAAGAGGUACUACAGGGGUAGGAGUGAAAUCUUGUAAUCCCUGUGGGACCACCUGUGGCGAAGGCGUCUUACCAGAACGGGUUCGACGGUGAGGGACGAAAGCUGGGGGCACGAACCGGAUUAGAUACCCGGGUAGUCCCAGCCGUAAACGAUGCUCGCUAGGUGUCAUGCAUGGUGCGACCGUGUAUGGUGCCGUAGGGAAGCCGUGAAGCGAGCCACCUGGGAAGUACGGCCGCAAGGCUGAAACUUAAAGGAAUUGGCGGGAAAGCAC